Molecule: ribosomal RNA, 431 nt
Filed under: uncultured bacterium
Lineage: Bacteria
Description: partial 16S ribosomal RNA
Rfam family: Bacterial small subunit ribosomal RNA
Source: RNAcentral
AACGAACGCUGGCGGCAGGCUUAACACAUGCAAGUCGAGCGCCCCGCAAGGGGAGCGGCAGACGGGUGAGUAACGCGUGGGAACGUACCUUUUGGUUCGGAACAACUCCGGGAAACUGGAGCUAAUACCGGAUAAGCCCUAACGGGGAAAGAUUUAUCGCCGAAAGAUCGGCUCGCGUCUGAUUAGCUAGUUGGUGAGGUAACGGCUCACCAAGGCGACGAUCAGUAGCUGGUCUGAGAGGAUGAUCAGCCACACUGGGACUGAGACACGGCCCAGACUCCUACGGGAGGCAGCAGUGGGGAAUAUUGGACAAUGGGCGCAAGCCUGAUCCAGCCAUGCCGCGUGAGUGAUGAAGGCCUUAGGGUUGUAAAGCUCUUUUGUCCGGGAAGAUAAUGACUGUACCGGAAGAAUAAGCCCCGGCUAACUUCGUG